GGAAUUCUUUGAGGUGUGGCCUGUCAGGCAGGUGUCCUGUGCAGACAACCAUGUGGUGGUGCUGACCCACAGGGGAGACAUCUACUCCUGGGGCUGUGGAGAGCCCGAUGGAGCUAUGAUGAAGGACAUUAUUCAUUCAUGAAGUUGGCCUUUUCCUCAGUCUUGACCAGGACUGUGAGGAUGACUUUAACUCCCUCACGCAAGUGGAGAUUCCCAAAAGAGCCAGUAUCUCAUCUGUGGCCUUGA
RNAcentral lists this long non-coding RNA (246 nucleotides) under Oncorhynchus mykiss (rainbow trout). RNAcentral describes it as "lncRNA (ENSOMYG00000061412.1)". The record is from RNAcentral. Lineage: Eukaryota; Metazoa; Chordata; Actinopteri; Salmoniformes; Salmonidae.